CAGUACUAUUUGCCUCGAUUAAUCCUACCUAGGAUACUUUCGAUAAUCCUGGAGUCAAUACCGUGCCCCUACGGGGAAAUAAGGUCACCAGCCUGCUCUGCAGUUUGUGUACCGUAAUAUCUGAAUUUCUUAUGAAACCGAGCGUAAGCUUCGGCAAAUCGUGCAAAGCACUGUCCUUUUAACUUGAGAUGGUAGUGUGGGGGACUACCAUGGUGAUUACGGGUAACGGGGUAUAAGGGUAUUACACCGGAGAGGAUGCCUUAGAUACGGCAACCACAUCUAAGGGAGGCAGCAGGCGCGCAAAUUACCACGUCUUAAAUCAAGGCGGUAGUGACGAAACGUAUCAAGCUAUUCUCUAUGAGAGUAUGCAUUGAAAUGGUUCAUAACCAAAACCUCUGAGGAGGAUCUAUGAGAGGGCAAGUCUGGUGCCAGCAGCCGCGGUAAUUCCAGUUCUCAAGGCGUAUGGCCGUUGUGUUGUGGUUAAAAAGCUCGUGAUUGUAUCUGUGUAAGUACCUUAGGCUUGUCCUGGGGGAAUCGCCGAAUGGCGAGAGCUACUCUGAGCAAAUCAGAGUGCUCAAAACAAGCUUUUCGCUUGAAUGUUCGUGUAUGGAAUGAUUGAAUAGGACUUUGUGUUCUUAUCA
This 641-nucleotide ribosomal RNA is filed under the name Pelodera pseudoteres. RNAcentral describes it as "SSU rRNA". It matches the Rfam family "Eukaryotic small subunit ribosomal RNA", at positions 107 to 843 of the family's 1831-position model. The record is from RNAcentral. Lineage: Eukaryota; Metazoa; Nematoda; Chromadorea; Rhabditida; Rhabditidae.